RNAcentral lists this ribosomal RNA (497 nucleotides) under uncultured bacterium. RNAcentral's name for it is "partial 16S ribosomal RNA". It matches the Rfam family "Bacterial small subunit ribosomal RNA", at positions 28 to 507 of the family's 1533-position model. The record is from RNAcentral.
GAUGAACGCUGGCGGCGUGCCUAAUACAUGCAAGUCGAGCGAACAGACGAGGAGCUUGCUCCUUUGACGUUAGCGGCGGACGGGUGAGUAACACGUAGGUAACCUACCUAUAAGACUGGGAUAACUUCGGGAAACCGGAGCUAAUACCGGAUAAUAUUUCGAACCGCAUGGUUCGAUAGUGAAAGAUGGCUUUGCUAUCACUUAUAGGUGGACCUGCGCCGUAUUAGCUAGUUGGUAAGGUAACGGCUUACCAAGGCAACGAUACGUAGCCGACCUGAGAGGGUGAUCGGCCACACUGGAACUGAGCCACGGUCCAGACUCCUACGGGAGGCAGCAGUAGGGAAUCUUCCGCAAUGGGCGAAAGCCUGACGGAGCAACGCCGCGUGAGUGAUGAAGGUCUUCGGAUCGUAAAACUCUGUUAUUAGGGAAGAACAAACGUGUAAGUAACUGUGCACGUCUUGACGGUACCUAAUCAGAAAGCCACGGCUAACUACGUG